CUCAGAAGCUGAAGCAGAUCGGACAUAUCUGGAGUAUAACUCUCUCAGUGUCAGUCUAACCCGAGGGAGGCAGCAUCAGCACCUGGAUUCUGUUCUUUGACCUGUGAAGACUUGUGGUGAAGAUGCGUCCAUUCCCUUGGAGGUUCAUCUUCUUGAUGCUGGCGGUUGUGGCUUGCGUGAGUGAGGGUGCACAGUGCCCCAGGGUGUGUCCCCAGCACAUCUCCCCUGUGUGUGGCUCCAACCACAUCACCUACGCCAAUGGCUGCAAGCUGGAUCAAGCAGCCUGUCAUGACCAUUUCUUGAGGAAGAUGCACAAUGGCCAUUGCAAGGGGAAGCCUAACUGCGACAAGGGUUGUUUAUCCUAUGGGGCCAACGUGUGCGGGUCGGACAAGAAGACCUACAGUAACUCCUGUGUACUGAACUUCGAGGCCUGCAUGAACCCUAAUCUCAAUCUAAGGGUCGCCUAUAAGGGCCGAUGUCGUUAGAUUAGAUUCCAGCUUGCAACUCAGACGCGAGGAACGAAGCAACGGCUUGGACAAACCCAGAAAGGAUUCAUCUUAUCUCUAAGACUCUCACACAACUUGGCAAUGGCGUCUCACCCUUUGUUUGAUCACCAAUUCUGACUGCAGUCGUGCUGCGCAGUGUGGGGGUUUUGGUCACUGUAUUUGUAACUUGAGGAUUCUCCAUAUAAAUAUACUAAAUAAAAGUUGAAAAUUAUGCAAUUUU
Non-coding RNA from Procambarus clarkii (red swamp crayfish), 726 nucleotides. The record is from RefSeq and is a predicted model, not a curated record. NCBI's taxonomy places the organism in Eukaryota, Metazoa, Arthropoda, Malacostraca, Decapoda, Cambaridae.